CGUAGGGUGCAAGCGUUAAUCGGAAUUACUGGGCGUAAAGCGUGCGCAGGCGGUUUUGUAAGACUGUCGUGAAAUCCCCCGGGCUCAACCUGGGAAUGGCGAUGGGGACUGCAAGGCUAGAGUUUGGCAGAGGGGGGUAGAAUUCCACGUGUAGCAGUGAAAUGCGUAGAUAUGUGGAGGAACACCGAUGGCGAAGGCAGCCCCCCUGGGUCAAAACUGACGCUCAUGCACGAAAGCGUGGGGAGCAAACAGGAUUAGAUACCCUGGUAGUCCACGCCCUAAACGAUGUCUACUAGUUGUCGGGUCUUAAUUGACUUGGUAACGCAGCUAACGCGUGAAGUAGACCGCCUGGGGAGUACGGUCGCAAGAUUA
RNAcentral lists this ribosomal RNA (372 nucleotides) under uncultured organism. RNAcentral describes it as "bacterial SSU rRNA". It matches the Rfam family "Bacterial small subunit ribosomal RNA", at positions 526 to 896 of the family's 1533-position model. The record is from RNAcentral.